AUACGGAGGGUGCGAGCGUUGUUCGGAAUCAUUGGGCGUAAAGAGCGUGUAGGCGGCGGGGUGUGUCUGAUGUGAAAGCCCGGAGCUCAACUCCGGAAGUGCAUUGGAAACUGCCUCGCUUGAGUCCCGGAGAGGGUAGUGGAAUUCCUGGUGUAGAGGUGAAAUGCGUAGAUAUCAGGAGGAACACCGGUGGCGAAGGCGACUACCUGGACGGAGACUGACGCUGAGACGCGAAAGCGUGGGGAGCAAACAGGAUUAGAAACCCCAGUAGUCC
RNAcentral lists this ribosomal RNA (274 nucleotides) under uncultured bacterium. RNAcentral's name for it is "partial 16S ribosomal RNA". It matches the Rfam family "Bacterial small subunit ribosomal RNA", at positions 523 to 796 of the family's 1533-position model. The record is from RNAcentral.